CUGUAGACGUAAUGAAAUUGUUAAUUAAAACUAAAUGGAACAAAUAAGUGCAUCAAAUGCAUCACAAUCGGAGAUCGUAUAAAAGGAGACGAGAUUUGAGGCAAAAAGUCAGUCAGCAAUUGUUUGCAGUCAAUAUCUAAAUAUGAAACUAUUCGCAAUCUUGGUCACCUUGUGCAUUAUUGGCGCCGCUUUUGCCAACAAGGGAGCAGCUGACGCUGCUAAUGCUAAUGACGAUGAUGCAGCCAACGAUGAUGCGGAUGCCUAAUUCAUUCAUUCGAAAUCGGUAAUUUUUUUGGGAUAUGCCCUUCAAACUAAUUGGCUUUAAAUAACUAUGGACCACUUAAGCAAAAAAAAAAAAAAAAAAAAAAAUAAAUAAACUUUUAUAGUUCAAAAAA
Long non-coding RNA from Drosophila nasuta, 395 nucleotides. RefSeq lists it as uncharacterized. The record is from RefSeq and is a predicted model, not a curated record. The transcript has 2 exons. Lineage: Eukaryota; Metazoa; Arthropoda; Insecta; Diptera; Drosophilidae.